Molecule: transfer RNA, 67 nt
Filed under: Marmota monax (woodchuck)
Lineage: Eukaryota; Metazoa; Chordata; Mammalia; Rodentia; Sciuridae
Description: tRNA.Ala
Source: RNAcentral
GGCUUGUGGCUCAGUGGUAGAGCACUCGCCCAGCACGGCGAGGCCCUGGGUUCAAUCCUCAGCAUCA